This 253-nucleotide ribosomal RNA is filed under the name uncultured bacterium. RNAcentral describes it as "partial 16S ribosomal RNA". It matches the Rfam family "Bacterial small subunit ribosomal RNA", at positions 524 to 776 of the family's 1533-position model. The record is from RNAcentral.
UACGUAGGGGGCAAGCGUUGUCCGGAAUCAUUGGGCGUAAAGAGCGUGUAGGCGGCCCGAUAAGUCCGCCGUGAAAGUCCAGGGCUCAACCCUGGGAUGCCGGUGGAAACUGUCGGGCUAGAGUCCGGAAGGGGCGAGUGGAAUUCCUGGUGUAGCGGUGAAAUGCGCAGAUAUCAGGAGGAACACCAAUGGCGAAGGCAGCUCGCUGGGACGGUACUGACGCUGAGACGCGAAAGCGUGGGGAGCAAACAGG